GACGAACGCUGGCGGCGUGCCGAAUACAUGCAAGUCGAACGCUUCUUUCCUCCCGAGUGCUUGCACUCAAUUGGAAAGAGGAGUGGCGGACGGGUGAGCAACACGUGGGUAACCUACCCAUCAGCGGGGGAUAACACUUGGAAACAGGUGCUAAUACCGCAUAACAGUUUAUGCCGCAUGGCAUAAGAGUGAAAGGCGUUUUCGGGUGUCGCGGAUGAAUGGACUCGCGGUCCAUUAGCUAGUUGGUGAGGUAACGGUUCACCAAGUCGACAAUGCAUAGCGGAUCUGAGCGGCCAUUACGCCGCACUGGAACUGAGCCACGGCCCAUACUCCUACGAGAAACCACAGUGGGAAAUCUUCGGCGAUGAACGAAUGUCUGACAAAGAAACGGAGCGUGAGUGAAGAAGGAUUUCGGAUCGUAAAACUCUGUUGUUAGAGAAGAACAAGAACGUUAGUAACUCGACGUCCCGUGACGGUAUCUAACCAGAAAGCAACGGCUAACUACGUG
RNAcentral lists this ribosomal RNA (508 nucleotides) under uncultured bacterium. Its description in RNAcentral is "partial 16S ribosomal RNA". It matches the Rfam family "Bacterial small subunit ribosomal RNA", at positions 28 to 507 of the family's 1533-position model. The record is from RNAcentral.